This 574-nucleotide long non-coding RNA is filed under the name Triticum aestivum (bread wheat). RNAcentral describes it as "long non-coding RNA (TAES_LNC005900)". Lineage: Eukaryota; Viridiplantae; Streptophyta; Magnoliopsida; Poales; Poaceae. The record is from RNAcentral.
UUGGUGUCUCCAAGAAGCGAUAAACUGCUUCACAAAGAUCCCCGCAUAGCUUCACUACUACUGUGUUGGUCCAUUUCCAGAAUCUUAAGGAGUGUUCUUGUUUAGACGAUUACCUUGGAUGAUGCUUUUGCUUGGGGAGAGGCUCAAGAAGAUCAGGUAUAAACUCCUCCCCCUCUCGUUUGUUUUUGUUUCAUACAGUUUGGUGGUUGAUACAUUACUGUGCAAGUUCUAUGGUAGGUGAUUUCUUUUUGUUGCUGCAAGCAUUGACACAAUAUGUCAUGUGCAGGGAGCUUUGCAUCCGAGUUUCAGCCAUCCUCUAUAGCAAGGAGCUCUCAGCCAAAGGAGCAAGCAGCGCUGCUAGUUCCUUGAGGCCAGAUCGAGUAAGAUGGCGCACCAUGGCGUGUGGUGGCGUAUUUUGCUUCCGAGAACAAUACUGUUUAUUUUAAGUGAGAUGUACUUGUCUAGUGCUUGGUAAAAAAAUUGAAGGAUGAAGUAUCAUGUACUGUCUAUGUUGUAGUGAGCUGUAGUAGGAGUGUAAUGAAAUUUUAUCUGCUGUUGUAUGUGCUAUUUUCCU